UCCCGCAAGGGAUUAGUAGAGUGGCAAACGGGUGAGUAACACGUGGGUGACCUGCCUUCGAGUGGGGGAUAACGUCCCGAAAGGGACGCUAAUACCGCAUAACAUCCUGCUUUUUAAGAGGUGGAGAUCAAAGCCGGGGAUCGCAAGACCUGGCGCUUGAAGAGGGGCCCGCGUCCGAUUAGCUAGUUGGUGGGGUAAUGGCUCACCAAGGCUUCGAUCGGUAUCCGGCCUGAGAGGGCGGACGGACACACUGGGACUGAGACACGGCCCAGACUCCUACGGGAGGCAGCAGUGGGGAAUUGUUCGCAAUGGGCGCAAGCCUGACGACGCAACGCCGCGUGGAGGAUGAAGAUUUUCGGAUCGUAAACUCCUUUCGAUCGAGACGAACGGCCUCUGGGUUAACAGCCCGGAGGAGUGACGGUACCGAGAGAAGAAGCCCCGGCUAACUCCGUGCCAGCAGCCGCGGUAAUACGGGGGGGGCAAGCGUUGUUCGGAAUUACUGGGCGUAAAGGGCUCGUAGGUGGCCAACUAAGUCAGACGUGAAAUCCCUCGGCUUAACCGGGGAACUGCGUCUGAUACUGGAUGGCUUGAGUUCGGGAGAGGGAUGCGGAAUUCCAGGUGUAGCGGUGAAAUGCGUAGAUAUCUGGAGGAACACCGGUGGCGAAGGCGGCAUCCUGGACCGACACUGACGCUGAGGAGCGAAAGCCAGGGGAGCAAACGGGAUUAGAUACCCCGGUAGUCCUGGCCCUAAACGAUGAAUGCUUGGUGUGGCGGGUAUCGAUCCCUGCCGUGCCGAAGCUAACGCAUUAAGCAUUCCGCCUGGGGAGUACGGUCGCAAGGCUGAAACUC
RNAcentral lists this ribosomal RNA (849 nucleotides) under uncultured Acidobacteriota bacterium. RNAcentral describes it as "bacterial SSU rRNA". It matches the Rfam family "Bacterial small subunit ribosomal RNA", at positions 75 to 902 of the family's 1533-position model. Lineage: Bacteria; Pseudomonadati; Acidobacteriota. The record is from RNAcentral.